This is a long non-coding RNA of Oxyura jamaicensis (ruddy duck), 80 nucleotides long. RefSeq lists it as uncharacterized. The transcript is spliced from 3 exons. Lineage: Eukaryota; Metazoa; Chordata; Aves; Anseriformes; Anatidae. The record is from RefSeq and is a predicted model, not a curated record.
GACUGGAGUGCAGACAUGUUCUUUCCCAGAAUAUCUCACCUUCUAGACUCUCCACCUUUUCAGCCUCAUUUCCAUCUUCG